This 497-nucleotide ribosomal RNA is filed under the name uncultured bacterium. Its description in RNAcentral is "partial 16S ribosomal RNA". It matches the Rfam family "Bacterial small subunit ribosomal RNA", at positions 28 to 507 of the family's 1533-position model. The record is from RNAcentral.
GAUGAACGCUGGCGGCGUGCCUAAUACAUGCAAGUCGAGCGAACAGAUAAGGAGCUUGCUCCUUUGACGUUAGCGGCGGACGGGUGAGUAACACGUGGGUAACCUACCUAUAAGACUGGGAUAACUUCGGGAAACCGAAGCUAAUACCGGAUAACAUUUGGAACCGCAUGGUUCUAAAGUGAAAGAUGGUUUUGCUAUCACUUAUAGAUGGACCCGCGCCGUAUUAGCUAGUUGGUAAGGUAACGGCUUACCAAGGCGACGAUACGUAGCCGACCUGAGAGGGUGAUCGGCCACACUGGAACUGAGACACGGUCCAGACUCCUACGGGAGGCAGCAGUAGGGAAUCUUCCGCAAUGGGCGAAAGCCUGACGGAGCAACGCCGCGUGAGUGAUGAAGGGUUUCGGCUCGUAAAACUCUGUUAUUAGGGAAGAACAAAUGUGUAAGUAACUGUGCACGUCUUGACGGUACCUAAUCAGAAAGCCACGGCCAACUACGUG